AAGUUCCGACCUGCACGAAUGGCGUAACGAUGGCGGCGCUGUCUCCACCCGAGACUCAGUGAAAUUGAAAUCGCUGUGAAGAUGCAGUGUAUCCGCGGCUAGACGGAAAGACCCCGUGAACCUUUACUAUAGCUUUGCACUGGACUUUGAAUUUGCUUGUGUAGGAUAGGUGGGAGGCUUUGAAGUGGGGACGCCAGUUCUCAUGGAGCCAUCCUUGAAAUACCACCCUGGCAACUUUGAGGUUCUAACUCAGGUCCGUUAUCCGGAUCGAGGACAGUGUAUGGUGGGU
This 289-nucleotide ribosomal RNA is filed under the name Bacillus cereus. Its description in RNAcentral is "partial 23S ribosomal RNA". It matches the Rfam family "Bacterial large subunit ribosomal RNA", at positions 1978 to 2266 of the family's 2925-position model. Lineage: Bacteria; Bacillati; Bacillota; Bacilli; Caryophanales; Bacillaceae. The record is from RNAcentral.